This 1164-nucleotide long non-coding RNA is filed under the name Panax ginseng (ginseng). RNAcentral describes it as "long non-coding RNA (PGIN_LNC011486)". The record is from RNAcentral. Lineage: Eukaryota; Viridiplantae; Streptophyta; Magnoliopsida; Apiales; Araliaceae.
UUCUGCGUAUCCACAUCUGUAGCUACAAAAACUCUAAAUUGCUUAGUAGCAAUAAAAAUAUCUACUACUUCAAGUGAUGCAAUUUUUGCGAUUCAAAAUUUUAUGCCAAACUGGGUGCUUCAUGACACAUAACGUAUGAUAACUUUUCCAGCCAAUAUUAUUAAAUAAAGAUUUGUUUUAUUACAAAUUUGUGACAGUAGCACGAAUAUGGAAAGAUAUAUGUUUCGUUAUAGGGUCCAUGUACAUAUAUAUUUAUAUCAAGCAGAACGUUUUAUCCGUUCAACCUACUUAUAAGUAAGAAGUUUUAUUCUCAUGUUUUAAUAACAUCGAUUAUUGGAAUUGGCUGCCAACCACUAUGAGGCCCAAAAAUCUGCUAGAAACAAAAAUCUGCCAGUUAUAACUAAAAAUUACCGACUCUCACAAAGGAUGAAUGCAACUGAAAUCUCAGCAAGCUGGAGGUUCAUAACAAGUCCAGCCUAAUCCACAAGCUUUGGAGGUUGCAUUUUAAAGCCAGUAUUAUGGCCAAAAAGGAAUGUAGUAACAUAUAGUGGAGUAACAUUUGAUGAUCGAAUCUCCAAAGUAUGGAACCAUGAGUUUAAAUAUCUUGCUAAAAGCUUUAUGAUUUAGAUCUAAUAUGCCAAGUAGAACUUGAGUAAAGUGUUUCGAUCUUUUAAAACUCAAAAGAUAAGGUUCUGCACAAAUGUAUGCAUGUUUAAUUGUGAUAACACACAAAGCCAACAAAAGGUUUAAAUGGUGUGUGUUGACAACAUAUCAUAUUCCCAAAUUAGGUUAAGUUGUUAAGAUUCUACGUAAACCCUGGUGGAUUUCAUUUUAGUAAAUAUAACAUAAGCUAAAUGCAACUAUAAUACUCUGCAAGAAUAUCUACAGAUAGACUUUGGAGCAAUGUUGCAAAUCAUCCUUAAGUUAUUCAACCUUUUACCUAAAUAUUUUCCCAUGUUUGGUCAUAUGUAGAUGAUGGAUUAAACCUGAUAUGCAGGGUUGCAUACUAGGUUCUUAGGCUAGAAAUCCAUCAAACAUAAAAGGGAACAAGAAGUGUACAACUCUUCAAUCUUUUAGGGAAUAUAAUUUGUUUUCUUCACCUACUGAAUUUACUCAAAGAAACAAUGGUGAUUUUAAAUCCAUCUCAAUCUAACAAUAUGAACN